RNAcentral lists this small RNA (60 nucleotides) under Arabidopsis thaliana (thale cress). RNAcentral describes it as "ATSL167680". The record is from RNAcentral. Lineage: Eukaryota; Viridiplantae; Streptophyta; Magnoliopsida; Brassicales; Brassicaceae.
AAGGCUCAUCAAAUAAUAGAUCCAACUACAGAUACCUAUAGCGGGCAUAUCUAUUUCUUG